This 254-nucleotide ribosomal RNA is filed under the name uncultured bacterium. Its description in RNAcentral is "partial 16S ribosomal RNA". It matches the Rfam family "Bacterial small subunit ribosomal RNA", at positions 524 to 777 of the family's 1533-position model. The record is from RNAcentral.
UACGAAGGGGGCUAGCGUUGCUCGGAAUCACUGGGCGUAAAGGGUGCGUAGGCGGCUUUUUAAGUCAGGGGUGAAAUCCUGGAGCUCAACUCCAGAACUGCCUUUGAUACUGGAAGUCUUGAGUCCGGAAGAGGUAAGUGGAACUGCGAGUGUAGAGGUGAAAUUCGUAGAUAUUCGCAAGAACACCAGUGGCGAAGGCGGCUUACUGGUCCGGUACUGACGCUGAGGUGCGAAAGCGUGGGGAGCAAACAGGG